UGAUAACGAUCGUUCCUCAUCUGUUUUGA
RNAcentral lists this small RNA (29 nucleotides) under Bombyx mori (domestic silkworm). Its description in RNAcentral is "piRNA piR-bmo-1858346". Lineage: Eukaryota; Metazoa; Arthropoda; Insecta; Lepidoptera; Bombycidae. The record is from RNAcentral.